CUUCACCAUAACCACUACCACCGCUGCGACCACAACAACAACAACAACAAUUAAGACUUAUACUAACCUAUCUCCCACCACUAUCAUCACAACUACAACACCAACAAUUAGAUCUUCACUAACAAUUCACCACCACCACCACUACUACUACUACUACUACAAUUACAAUUAAGAUAUUCAGUGAAGAAGUUUUUCACAGCGAAAGGAGUUUUACCUCUGAAGUUGGGUCGAGAUGGCUCAUUGGUUACACUAACUCUUAUCUCUUUGAAUAUGUACAAGUUACCCGAUCUCAAAUGAUCAAGGCCAACAACUCUGGAUUACAAACGGAGGCAAAUCUACCCAAUAUCAAAAUCACCACCAAAUUAUGCAACUUCUGUUUACCGUGCUAUUUAUUCUUGGAUUAGCAUUUCAAAGUUUUGUCGAUGCCUGCAGUCGUAAAUCUCCGAGACCAUUGGAUCCCAGCAAAUCCACAACCGCCGCCACUGUCUCUUCCUCCUCCUCCUCCUCCUCCACCACAUUUAAACCUGUACCUCCAAACAGAUUCAACUGUACAGAGGAGCAAAUUUCAAGUACAUCUUGUCUCAAUGGCGGCGUAUGUUUCUCUAUGAUGCUCGGUGGAAGCAAGGCGUCCGCCUGUAAGUAAGUAGCUUGGUUGG
Long non-coding RNA from Octopus bimaculoides (California two-spot octopus), 656 nucleotides. The record is from RefSeq and is a predicted model, not a curated record. Lineage: Eukaryota; Metazoa; Mollusca; Cephalopoda; Octopoda; Octopodidae.